Molecule: long non-coding RNA, 382 nt
Organism: Silurus meridionalis
Lineage: Eukaryota; Metazoa; Chordata; Actinopteri; Siluriformes; Siluridae
Exons: 2
Source: RefSeq, a predicted model, not a curated record
AAUCUCCCUUAGGUAGCCUGUCUCAUCCUUGUUGGAGAUCAGGUGCACCACAACAGUGUCUGCAGCAAACUUGAUGAUGGUGGUGGAGUUGGAAGUGACCACACAUUUGUAUGUGUACAGUGAGUACAUUAGGGGGCUCAGAACACAACCCUGAGGAGGUCCAGUGCUGAGGAAUUGCAAAAGCUCCAUCAGCAUGACCAUCAGGUUCUCUGUCUCCUCCAUCUUCACCGAGACCCUUCUGCCAUCAGAUGUUCAGCUUAAGAAAAAGUUCGGAAUUCAGGACCCUGCUGUGCUCCUAAAGAGCUUCAAUACAACAGAGACAUUCAUGCACCUGAGAUCAAUGUUAUAGUACAGCAGAAACUAAAUAUUUAUGUCACUGUGA